This 238-nucleotide ribosomal RNA is filed under the name uncultured Actinomycetales bacterium. RNAcentral describes it as "partial 16S ribosomal RNA". It matches the Rfam family "Bacterial small subunit ribosomal RNA", at positions 93 to 334 of the family's 1533-position model. Lineage: Bacteria; Bacillati; Actinomycetota; Actinomycetes; Actinomycetales. The record is from RNAcentral.
AGGUGGCGAACGGGUGAGUAACACGUGGGUGAUCUGCCCUGCACUCUGGGAUAAGCCUGGGAAACUGGGUCUAAUACCGGAUAGGACCGCACUUUAGUGUGUGUGGUGGAAAGUUUUUUCGGUGUAGGAUGAGCCCGCGGCCUACCAGCUUGUUGGUGGGGUAAUGGCCUACCAAGGCGGCGACGGGUAGCCGGACUGAGAGGUUGGUCGGCCACAUUGGGACUGAGAUACGGCCCAG